GCAUUGGUAGUUCAGUAGUAGAAUUCUCGCCUUGCAUGUGGGAGACCCAGGUUCGAUUCCUAGCCAGUGCA
Molecule: transfer RNA, 71 nt
Filed under: Trichechus manatus latirostris (Florida manatee)
Lineage: Eukaryota; Metazoa; Chordata; Mammalia; Sirenia; Trichechidae
Description: tRNA-Ala (TGC) (tRNA-Ala-TGC-22-1)
Rfam family: tRNA
About the family: Transfer RNA (tRNA) molecules are approximately 80 nucleotides in length. Their secondary structure includes four short double-helical elements and three loops (D, anti-codon, and T loops).
Source: Rfam by way of RNAcentral